This 200-nucleotide ribosomal RNA is filed under the name uncultured bacterium. Its description in RNAcentral is "partial 16S ribosomal RNA". It matches the Rfam family "Bacterial small subunit ribosomal RNA", at positions 328 to 538 of the family's 1533-position model. The record is from RNAcentral.
ACGCUCGACACCUACUGGAGGCAGCAGUCGGGAAUAUUGCGCAAUGGAGGAAACUCUGACGCAGUGACGCCGCGUAUAGGAAGAAGGUUUUCGGAUUGUAAACUAUUGUCGUUAGGGAAGAAAAAAGACAGUACCUAAGGAGGAAGCUCCGGCUAACUACGUGCCAGCAGCCGCGGUAAUCUGAGCGGGCUGGACAAGGC